RNAcentral lists this ribosomal RNA (253 nucleotides) under uncultured bacterium. RNAcentral describes it as "partial 16S ribosomal RNA". It matches the Rfam family "Bacterial small subunit ribosomal RNA", at positions 524 to 776 of the family's 1533-position model. The record is from RNAcentral.
UACAGAGGUCUCAAGCGUUGUUCGGAUUCAUUGGGCGUAAAGGGUGCGUAGGCGGCGCGGUAAGUCGGGUGUGAAAGUCCAGGGCUCAACCCUGGAAUGCCGGUGGAAACUGUCGAGCUAGAGUCCGGAAGAGGCGAGUGGAAUUCCUGGUGUAGCGGUGAAAUGCGCAGAUAUCAGGAGGAACACCAAUGGCGAAGGCAGCUCGCUGGGACGGUACUGACGCUGAGACGCGAAAGCGUGGGGAGCAAACAGG